AUUGAACGCUGGCGGCAGGCUUAACACAUGCAAGUCGAACGAGUGGCGGACGGGUGAGUAAUGUCUGGGAAACUGCCUGAUGGAGGGGGAUAACUACUGGAAACGGUAGCUAAUACCGCAUACCAUCAGAUGUGCCCAGAUGGGAUUAGCUUGUGGGGGGGGUAAUGGCUCACCAAGGCGACGAUCCCUCGCUGGUCUGAGAGGAUGACGAGCCACACGGGAACUGAGACACGGGCCAGACUCCUACGGGAGGCAGCAGUGGGGAAUAUUGGACAUGGGGGGCAAGCCUGAUGCAGCCAGGCGGCGUGUGUGAAGAAGGCGUUCGGGUUGUAAAGUACUUUCAGCGAGAAGGCGUUACCCGCAGAAGAAGCACCGGCUAACUCCGUGCCAGCAGCCGCGGUAAUAC
Molecule: ribosomal RNA, 406 nt
Filed under: uncultured bacterium
Lineage: Bacteria
Description: partial 16S ribosomal RNA
Rfam family: Bacterial small subunit ribosomal RNA
Source: RNAcentral